AUCGCUUCUCGGCCUUUUGGCUAAGAUCAAGUGUAGAUUUUUAAAUAAGUAGGCUUUGUACUUUCUCAGAUUUUGCAUUUCUACUUCACAAAGAAAUAUUUUCUUGAGACUCCUGCUAGUGUGAUUGAAGGGCAAUUUCAGCUUCAAACAGCAUUUUUUUGUGUCAAUGAAGAGAUUUA
This 179-nucleotide small nuclear RNA is filed under the name Fukomys damarensis (Damara mole-rat). Its description in RNAcentral is "U2 spliceosomal RNA". It matches the Rfam family "U2 spliceosomal RNA". Rfam says of the family: U2 is a small nuclear RNA (snRNA) component of the spliceosome (involved in pre-mRNA splicing). Complementary binding between U2 snRNA (in an area lying towards the 5' end but 3' to hairpin I) and the branchpoint sequence (BPS) of the intron results the bulging out of an unpaired adenosine, on the BPS, which initiates a nucleophilic attack at the intronic 5' splice site, thus starting the first of two transesterification reactions that mediate splicing. Lineage: Eukaryota; Metazoa; Chordata; Mammalia; Rodentia; Bathyergidae. The record is from Rfam by way of RNAcentral.